RNAcentral lists this long non-coding RNA (315 nucleotides) under Anas platyrhynchos platyrhynchos (common mallard). Its description in RNAcentral is "lncRNA (ENSAPLG00000022967.1)". Lineage: Eukaryota; Metazoa; Chordata; Aves; Anseriformes; Anatidae. The record is from RNAcentral.
AAAAGUUGUGUGAUACCUGAGGUCAGCAGUGCCACAGGGGGUGCCGCUUUAGCUGACCCAUGCUGUGCCAUCCCUAUUUUCCAGCCAGUGCCUGAAGAUGUCAAGUUCUGCCCUAAAAAACAAGCAGAGCUUUUCCAGGAGCCACUUACAAGCAAGCAGAAGUCCACGGAAGUCAGAGUGUGCUGGAGUCAACAAGGAGAAUUGGGGCCUGAUUGCAGAAAGUGUGCAAAACAUGGGAGGAACAUGAAAGAGGCUGUUUUGCCAGGAACAUUAAGCCAUUACUCUAUAUUGCUACAUGCACUACUUGGGGUCUAA